Molecule: ribosomal RNA, 253 nt
Filed under: uncultured bacterium
Lineage: Bacteria
Description: partial 16S ribosomal RNA
Rfam family: Bacterial small subunit ribosomal RNA
Source: RNAcentral
UACGAAGGGGGCUAGCGUUGUUCGGAAUUACUGGGCGUAAAGCGCACGUAGGCGGACUUGUAAGUUGGGGGUGAAAUCCCGGGGCUCAACCCCGGAAUUGCCUUCAAGACUGCAAGUCUGGAGGUCAGGAGAGGCGAGCGGAAUUCCGAGUGUAGAGGUGAAAUUCGUAGAGAUUCGGAGGAACACCAGUGGCGAAGGCGGCUCGCUGGACUGAUACUGACGAUGAGGUGCGAAAGAGUGGGGAGCAAACAGG